CCGCCGCCGGCGACGUCCGCGAGAAGUCCACUGAACCUUAUCAUUUAGAGGAAGGAGAAGUCGUAACAAGGUUUCCGUAGGUGAACCUGCAAAAGGAUCAUUGUUGAUGCUGCCUUGAAGCAGUAGGACCCCGCGGGUCCGGUUAGCAGCGCAACCAACCGGCUGUCGUCGGGUGCGACCAUGACGGCCGAACAACCAACCCCGGCGCCGCACGCGCCAAGGAAACGCAACGAACGAGCGUGCUCCCGGCGGCCCGGAAUCGGGGACCGGCCGGCAAGCGUCGAUCCAACGUUAUGUGACACACAAAAUGACUCUCGGCAACGGAUAUCUCGGCUCUCGCAUCGAUGAAGAACGUAGCGAAAUGCGAUACUUGGUGUGAAUUGCAGAAUCCCGUGAACCAUCGAGUCUUUGAACGCAAGUUGCGCCCGAAGCCAGCAGGCGGAGGGCACGUCUGCCUGGGUGUCACGCAACGUCGCCCCCCACCCCAACUCGGGCGGGGCGGACGAUGGCCUCCCGCGAGCCGCGUCUCCCGGCUGGUCGAAACGCGGGCCCGCGGCKGCGACCGCCACKAUCCGCGAUGUUGGAUUCAACUCGACGAUCCGGAAUGCGUCCCGCGUAAAAGGGUCCGAGGUACGGGUUUCACGAGACUCACUCGUCGCAUCAUCGAUGCGACUGUCUGACAGGCGGGCACCGGUGUUGAGUUUAAGCAUAUCAAUACCGCAGGAA
RNAcentral lists this ribosomal RNA (726 nucleotides) under Schizolobium parahyba (Brazilian fern tree). RNAcentral describes it as "eukaryotic LSU rRNA". Lineage: Eukaryota; Viridiplantae; Streptophyta; Magnoliopsida; Fabales; Fabaceae. The record is from RNAcentral.